GUGUCUAUAGAGUAUCUUAUCGAGGUGCCUGUGAUGAUAUAUUAGCUCUUCAUACUUGGAUUAAAAAAGGCAUCUCUACAAAGACCCUACAGACGUCUAUAAAUGGACCUCUACCCUACACAGUUUAUGUGACCUUUGUCUUUGUGCUAAGAAUCAGAAAGGCAUUUUAAAGCAGAUUACAUGUAAUUAUUAUUGUGUGUCUACAGGGUAUUCAUCGAGGUGCCUAUAG
This is a non-coding RNA of Pelobates cultripes (western spadefoot toad), 229 nucleotides long. The record is from the annotation of a GenBank genome assembly. Lineage: Eukaryota; Metazoa; Chordata; Amphibia; Anura; Pelobatidae.